This 537-nucleotide long non-coding RNA is filed under the name Triticum aestivum (bread wheat). Its description in RNAcentral is "long non-coding RNA (TAES_LNC013947)". Lineage: Eukaryota; Viridiplantae; Streptophyta; Magnoliopsida; Poales; Poaceae. The record is from RNAcentral.
UGCCGUCACUCGACCGACACUGCAUCUUUCUCCGAUGGCCACCGAUUUCCAUCCAGGUACCGGCCCUUCCUGAUCCAGUUGCUGUUUUUUGUACCCCUUUAUGAUCUAUUUCCUUUUCCUGAAAACUUUCAUAUGUGCCUCCAUUUGGAUUCACCAGAAACUAACGAGCAUUUUCUCCUCCCUCAUUUGCUGGGUACUGGUGGAAGCAAAUGGCUGUACUGAAACACUGGUUUUGAAUAGGCCAGUGUAGUUGAUGCCUCUCCUCUGCAGCCGUAUGUCUUCAAGGGAUUGUACUAGUACUACAGGCACAACUCCCUUUAUAAAGGUUGUGUUAGAUAAUUUGAUUAUAUCUUCCAAGUUACAGGACUCAAAAAAUCACUUCUUAAGAGGAAGAAAACAGAGUUGAACUGGUCAUUGUCAAGGUAAUGGAUAAUACUGUAUGCUUGUAGUCAUUUAAUAAUUAAUAUUUCACCAAUUUCUCAAAUAUAGCUUAUGCACAUCUUGUUUUCUGGUCUUGUAAUUUGCGGGUACUAUUCC